UCUCCAAUAGUGUAUACUAAAGUUGCUGCAGUUAAAAAGCUCGUAGUUGGAUUUCGGUUAAUGAAAAGUUAGUCCACUUAAUAUAUAAGUGCGUACUGACGUUUUAUUUCCUUCUUUUCAGAUAUACAACUUGUUGUGUUCUGAAUCUUUUACUUUGAGAAAAUUAGAGUGUUCAAAGCAGGCGUAACCAAGCCUUUGAAUAUAUUAGCAUGGGAUAAUGGAAUAAGACUUUUUGCCUUAUUUUCGUUGGUUCUUGAGGCUAAAGUAAUGAUUAAUAGGGAUAGUUGGGGUCAUUAGUAUUUAAUUGUCAGAGGUGAAAUUCUAAGAUUUAUUAAAGACUAACUACUGCGAAAGCAUUUGACAAGGAUGUUUUCAUUAAUCAAGAACGAAAGUUGGGGGAUCGAAGAUGAUCAGAUACCGUCGUAGUCUCAACCAUAAACUAUGCCGACCAAGGAUUCGGGGGUGUUAUAUGAAUGACCCUCCGGGCACUUAUAGAGAAAUCAUAAGUAUUUGGGUUCCGGGGGGAGUAUGGUCGCAAGGCUGAAACUUAAAGGAAUUGACGGAAGGGCACCACCAGGAGUGGAAUAUGCGGUUUAAUUUGACCCAACACGGGAAAACUUACCAGGUCCAGACACAGUGAGGAUUGACAGAUUGAGAGCUCUUUCUUGGUUUUGUGGGUGGUGGUGCAUGGCCGUUUCUAGUUGGUGGAGUGAUUUGUCUGGUUAAUUCCGUUAACGAACGAGACCUUAACCUAUUAAAUAGUUACACAUACUUGGGAUUCGUCCUAAUAGUAUGUGGUUAACUUCUUAGAGGGACUCUUCACGUAAAGAGUGAAUGGAGUUUGAGGCAAAAACAGGUCUGUGAUGCCCUUAGAUGUUCUGGGCUACACGCGUGUUACACUGAUAUAUUCAACAAGCAUUAUAAUUCCUUACCCGAUGGGGUUGGGUAAUCUUUUAAAUGUAUAUCGUGAUGGGGAUAGACCAUUGUAAUUAUUGGUCUUGAACGAGGAAUUCCUAGUAAGUGCAAGUCAUUAGCUUGCGCUGAUUACGUCCCUGCCCUUUGUACACACCGCCCGUCGCUCCUACCGAUGAAUGGUCCCGUGAGGACUCAGGAUGACCGUGGAUUUUGGUAUAAUAUACCAUGCCAUUGUUUGUCAGAAU
RNAcentral lists this ribosomal RNA (1160 nucleotides) under metagenome. Its description in RNAcentral is "SSU rRNA". It matches the Rfam family "Eukaryotic small subunit ribosomal RNA", at positions 588 to 1754 of the family's 1831-position model. The record is from RNAcentral.